CAUGUAGGAUCCGAGCGUUAUCCGAAUUUACUGGGCGUAAAGCGCGUGUAGGCGGUUUAGUAAGUUGGAUGUGAAAGCUCCCGGCUCAACUGGGAGAGGCCGUUCAAAACUACUAAACUAGAGGACGGUAGAGGGAGGUGGAAUUCCCGGUGUAGUAGUGAAAUGCGUAGAUAUCGGGAGGAACACCAGUGGCGAAAGCGGCCUCCUGGACCGUUCCUGACGCUCAGACGCGAAAGCUAGGGGAGCGAACGGG
This 253-nucleotide unclassified non-coding RNA is filed under the name uncultured Anaerolineales bacterium. Its description in RNAcentral is "contains 16S-23S intergenic spacer region". It matches the Rfam family "Bacterial small subunit ribosomal RNA", at positions 524 to 776 of the family's 1533-position model. Lineage: Bacteria; Bacillati; Chloroflexota; Anaerolineae; Anaerolineales. The record is from RNAcentral.